GGAAACGCCGACUAAUACCCCAUAGUAUCACUUUAAGGCAUCUUUUAGUGAUUAAAGAAAUUCGGAAACGGAUAGGCUCGCGUGACAUUAGCUAGAUGGCGGGGUAACGGCCCACCAUGGCGACGAUGUCUAGGGGUUCUGAGAGGAAGGUCCCCCACACUGGAACUGAGACACGGUCCAGACUCCUACGGGAGGCAGCAGUGAGGAAUAUUGGUCAAUGGUCGAGAGACUGAACCAGCCAUGCCGCGUGAAGGUCACGGCCCUAUGGGUCUUAAACUUCUUUUGUAAGGGAGCAAUAAGUCUCACGCGUGGGAUGAUGAGAGUACCUUACGAAUAAGCAUCGGCUAACUCCGUGCCAGCAGCCGCGGUAAUACGGGGGAUGCAAGCGUUAUCCGGAUUUAUUGGGUUUAAAGGGUGCGUAGGCGGUCUGUUAAGUCAGCGGUGAAAUUUAGGGGCUCAACCUCUACCGUGCCGUUGAUACUGGCAGUCUGGAAUGCGGAUGCCGUGGGAGGAAUGUGUGGUGUAGCGGUGAAAUGCAUAGAUAUCACACAGAACACCGAUUGCGAAGGCAUCUCACGAAUCCGCAAUUGACGCUGAGGCACGAAAGCGUGGGGAUCAAACAGGAUUAGAUACCCUGGUAGUCCACGCUGUAAACGAUGAUGACUAACCGUCGGCGAUACACAGUCGGUGGCCAAGCGAAAGCGAUAAGUCAUCCACCUGGGGAGUACGACCGCAAGGUUGAAACUCAAAGGAAUUGACGGGGGCCCGCACAAGCGGAGGAACAUGUGGUUUAAUUCGAUGAUACGCGAGGAACCUUACCCGGGCUCGAACGGCAGAUGAAUAUAUUAGAGAUAGUAUAGUCUUCGGACAUCUGUCGAGGUGCUGCAUGGUUGUCGUCAGCUCGUGCUGUGAAGUGUCGGCUUAAGUGCCAUAACGAGCGCAACCCUUGCCGUUAGUUGCCAUCAGGUAAAGCUGGGGACUCUAGCGGGACUGCCACCGCAAGGUGUGAGGAAGGGGGGGAUGACGUCAAAUCAGCACGGCCCUUACGUCCGGGGCGACACACGUGUUACAAUGGUGAGUACAGAGGGAAGCUACCUGGCGACAGGAUGCAGAUCUCGAAAGCUCAUCCCAGUUCGGA
This 1138-nucleotide ribosomal RNA is filed under the name uncultured bacterium. Its description in RNAcentral is "bacterial SSU rRNA". It matches the Rfam family "Bacterial small subunit ribosomal RNA", at positions 152 to 1297 of the family's 1533-position model. The record is from RNAcentral.